UACGUAGGGGGCAAGCGUUAUCCGGAUUUACUGGGUGUAAAGGGAGCGUAGACGGCUUUGCAAGCCAGAUGUGAAAGCCCGGGGCUCAACCCCGGGACUGCAUUUGGAACUGUGUGGCUAGAGUGUCGGAGAGGCAGGCGGAAUUCCUAGUGUAGCGGUGAAAUGCGUAGAUAUUAGGAGGAACACCAGUGGCGAAGGCGGCCUGCUGGACGAUGACUAACGUUGAGGCUCGAAAGCGUGGGGAGCAAACAGG
Molecule: ribosomal RNA, 253 nt
Filed under: uncultured bacterium
Lineage: Bacteria
Description: partial 16S ribosomal RNA
Rfam family: Bacterial small subunit ribosomal RNA
Source: RNAcentral